UACGUAGGGUCCGAGCGUUGUCCGGAAUUACUGGGCGUAAAGAGCUCGUAGGUGGUUUGUCGCGUUGUUCGUGAAAACUCACAGCUCAACUGUGGGCGUGCGGGCGAUACGGGCAGACUUGAGUACUGCAGGGGAGACUGGAAUUCCUGGUGUAGCGGUGGAAUGCGCAGAUAUCAGGAGGAACACCGGUGGCGAAGGCGGGUCUCUGGGACCUGACUGACGCUCAUGUACGAAAGCGUGGGGAGCAAACAGG
This 253-nucleotide ribosomal RNA is filed under the name uncultured bacterium. Its description in RNAcentral is "partial 16S ribosomal RNA". It matches the Rfam family "Bacterial small subunit ribosomal RNA", at positions 524 to 776 of the family's 1533-position model. The record is from RNAcentral.